Molecule: ribosomal RNA, 515 nt
Filed under: uncultured bacterium
Lineage: Bacteria
Description: partial 16S ribosomal RNA
Rfam family: Bacterial small subunit ribosomal RNA
Source: RNAcentral
GAUGAACGCUGGCGGCGUGCCUAAUACAUGCAAGUCGAGCGAAUGGAUUAAGAGCUUGCUCUUAUGAAGUUAGCGGCGGACGGGUGAGUAACACGUGGGUAACCUGCCCAUAAGACUGGGAUAACUCCGGGAAACCGGGGCUAAUACCGGAUAACAUUUUGAACCGCAUGGUUCGAAAUUGAAAGGCGGAUUCGGCUGUCACCUAUGGAUGGACCCGGGUCGCAUUAGCUAGUUGGUGAGGUAACGGCUAACCAAGGAAACGAUGCGUAGCCGGCCUGAGAGGGUGAUCGGCCACACUGGGACUGAGACACGGCCCAGACUCCUACGGGAGGCAGCAGUAGGGAAUCUUCCGCAAUGGACGAAAGUCUGACGGAGCAACGCCACGUGAGUGAUGAAGGCUUUCGGGUCGUAAAACUCUGUUGUUAGGGAAGAACAAGUGCUAGUUGAAUAAGCUGGCACCUUGACGGUACCUAACCAGAAAGCCACGGCUAACUACGUGCCAGCCGCCGCGGUAA